UCUUCAAUCAUUCCUGCUGUUUGCAGAGAGUAAAAAAUCACUCUGGGGAUUUGCUUCUGGGAACAGCGAUCCAUUUACUAAUGGGAGUCAACUGAGUGUCUGUGAGAAAUGAGGAUGCUGCAGAUGGAGUGAUAGGAUGUAGGGUCUGUAGUGAAUAUUUUCAGCCCAGGGAUAACUUGGUGUUCCCUGAAUUGGAUGUGUACUUCUGGUGCCCGAAGGAUCAUCUUAGGCAUAGCACUGGAAAAGUCAGGAAUAAUCAAAAGAUAAGAGCACCAAGUGGGAGGAAGCUGGAAGGACAAUUUUUAGAUUUGACCUUGGGUUCCAGUUCUCAUGGUGGGUCUGUGGUGUCAAAGUACACCUGUACUCUGUGGUGCUGGGGUACCUGUUUGUUCAUGUUUUGAGCUUGGAAGACACACUGGACAUGAAAUUCCAGGGAAGCUGCACUUGCAGUAGUGGCUGGAGCAAGAAGAAGUGGAAGCUGUUUGCUAUCUGCUUGUUCUCCACCUUCAGCUCUGUUUCCUGGGUCUCAGGAAUUGUCUCAUUGUACAGUCUGUGGCGUAACACUUUCCGUGCAAGGAUAAUUGCAGUGGAAGAAGGCAGUUGGAGCCAAGAGCCUGGACUAGGAUGCCCUAGGCCCCUGCCAAGCGCAGGUUACAAAACAGCAAAAAAAAGUCAACAAAAACAAAACAUGUCAACAGACUGGGAGUAGCACAGAAGAUAUACAAAAGAUAAUGACCAGUAAUGAUCAUUAAUGAUCAUCAACUCCAAACAUCACCCCUGGUGAUGGAGUUGGAGACACCUGGUCUGGAAAAGACUCAUAAGAACACCAAGGAAUGAGCAAUAAAUUAGCAUCGGUGGGAAGACAUCUGUAACCAGUAAGAAACCAAAUACUAAGACCUGCAUAACUUGGGAACAAUGAACAUUGAAUGAAUUAAUUUCUAUGCGUUUUGACUGUAUAAAGUCUAGGAAAACAAUCUAGUAAAAUUCAUAUGUCAUGGAAUUAUUUUCUCUACACACCUGGGCAAUGUGUGGCUGAAAUGAUUUCUGUUGCACAUCCUGGCCAGAACAACAUUCUGGCCAGAAUAAAGUGUG
Zonotrichia albicollis (white-throated sparrow) is the source of this 1092-nucleotide long non-coding RNA. RefSeq lists it as uncharacterized. The record is from RefSeq and is a predicted model, not a curated record. Lineage: Eukaryota; Metazoa; Chordata; Aves; Passeriformes; Passerellidae.